This 466-nucleotide ribosomal RNA is filed under the name uncultured bacterium. Its description in RNAcentral is "partial 16S ribosomal RNA". It matches the Rfam family "Bacterial small subunit ribosomal RNA", at positions 28 to 507 of the family's 1533-position model. The record is from RNAcentral.
GAUGAACGCUGGCGGCGUGCUUAGCACAUGCAAGUCGAACGAUGAAGCCCAGCUUGCUGGGCGGAUUAGUGGCGAACGGGUGAGUAACACGUGAGUAACCUGCCCUUGACUCUGGGAUAAGCCUGGGAAACUGGGUCUAAUACUGGAUAUGACUUCUCAUCGCAUGGUGGGGGGUGGAAAGAUUUAUUGGUUUUGGAUGGACUCGCGGCCUAUCAGCUUGUUGGUGAGGUAAUGGCUCACCAAGGCGACGACGGGUAGCCGGCCUGAGAGGGUGACCGGCCACACUGGGACUGAGACACGGCCCAGACUCCUACGGGAGGCAGCAGUGGGGAAUAUUGCACAAUGGGCGCAGGCCUGAUGCAGCGACGCCGCGUGAGGGAUGACGGCCUUCGGGUUGUAAACCUCUUUCGGUAGGGAAGAAGCGAGAGUGACGGUACCUGCAGAAGAAGCGCCGGCUAACUACGUG